GGGACAUUGGCGCAGUUGGUAGCGCGCUUCCAUAGCAUGGAAAAGGAGGGGUUCGAAUCCCUAUGCUCA
This 69-nucleotide transfer RNA is filed under the name Actinomycetaceae bacterium. RNAcentral's name for it is "tRNA-Ala". It matches the Rfam family "tRNA". Rfam says of the family: Transfer RNA (tRNA) molecules are approximately 80 nucleotides in length. The record is from RNAcentral. Lineage: Bacteria; Bacillati; Actinomycetota; Actinomycetes; Actinomycetales; Actinomycetaceae.